This 460-nucleotide ribosomal RNA is filed under the name uncultured bacterium. RNAcentral describes it as "partial 16S ribosomal RNA". It matches the Rfam family "Bacterial small subunit ribosomal RNA", at positions 338 to 795 of the family's 1533-position model. The record is from RNAcentral.
CCUACGGGAGGCAGCAGUGAGGAAUAUUGGUCAAUGGACGAGAGUCUGAACCAGCCAAGUAGCGUGAAGGAUGACUGCCCUAUGGGUUGUAAACUUCUUUUAUAAAGGAAUAAAACGAGGCACGUGUGCCUUUUUGUAUGUACUUUAUGAAUAAGGAUCGGCUAACUCCGUGCCAGCAGCCGCGGUAAUACGGAGGAUCCGAGCGUUAUCCGGAUUUAUUGGGUUUAAAGGGAGCGUAGAUGGGUUGUUAAGUCAGUUGUGAAAGUUUGCGGCUCAACCGUAAAAUUGCAUUUGAUACUGGCAGUCUUGAGUACAGUUGAGGUAGGCAGAAUUCGUGGUGUAGCGGUGAAAUGCUUAGAUAUCACGAAGAACCCCGAUUGCGAAGGCAGCUUACUAAACUGUGACUGACAUUGAUGCUCGAAAGUGUGGGUAUCAAACAGGAUUAGAUACCCCAGUAGUC